CAGGGGGUAGUUUAUAUGAAAAUAUUAGCUUUGGGAGUUGAUGAUAAGUUUUUCUUUCCUCUGA
Molecule: transfer RNA, 64 nt
Filed under: Neotermes sp. A TB-2014
Lineage: Eukaryota; Metazoa; Arthropoda; Insecta; Blattodea; Kalotermitidae
Description: tRNA-Pro
Source: RNAcentral